This 253-nucleotide ribosomal RNA is filed under the name uncultured bacterium. RNAcentral describes it as "partial 16S ribosomal RNA". It matches the Rfam family "Bacterial small subunit ribosomal RNA", at positions 524 to 776 of the family's 1533-position model. The record is from RNAcentral.
UACGUAGGUGGCAAGCGUUGUCCGGAAUUAUUGGGCGUAAAGCGCGCGCAGGCGGUCCUUUAAGUCUGAUGUGAAAGCCCUCGGCUCAACCGAGGAAGGUCAUUGGAAACUGGAGGACUUGAGUGCAGAAGAGGAAAGUGGAAUUCCAAGUGUAGCGGUGAAAUGCGUAGAGAUUUGGAGGAACACCAGUGGCGAAGGCGACUUUCUGGUCUGUAACUGACGCUGAGGCGCGAAAGCUAGGGGAGCAAACGGG